CAAAUAGUCUAAGAUUCCGAACCAAGAUGAAGUCACCCAAGGCAGGCAAAGGGACUUUGCAGAUGUGAUCAAGGACCUUGAAAGGGGAGAAUGUCCUGGAUUAAUCCAUGUGGGGCCAAUCUAACACAUAAGCGCUUCAAGUCAGAUAUCCUCUCCCAGCCGUGGGCAGAGGGAGGCAUGAGCACGAAAGAAUGGUCCGAGAGAUGCCAUACUGUUGCUUUGAGGAUGGAGGAAGCGGGUAUGAGCCAAGGGAUGUGGCAACUGGAAAAGACAGCUCUCAAAGUGGCAUAGAGAAAUGCAGCCCUACCAACACCUUAAUUCUAACCCAGGAUCACAUUUCCAACCGAUGGAAUGGUAACAUAAUACAUUUGUGUUGGUUUCAGCCACUCGCCUUGAUACCACCAGUGAGCAAAGGCACCGCCCACGUGGGCUGUCGGGCUGAAGGGAAACACAGAAAACCUGGGAAAGAAAAGUGAAAAUGAACAGAAGAAAGGAAGAAACUUCAAAAGCCGUAAUUUCAGGACAAUAAAGUACUCACAUUAAUAUAGAGUACCACGAGGUUGCUUGGGCUGCACUGGGUCAUCUUGGAUCGGACCACACUCCGAGACAGCUGCUGAUUUCCUGCAGUCACGCCAGCAUUAACCUUCACAAACAGGACCAUGCACGUACAGAACAAUCAUAAAACCACAACGUCACUGAGCCUUACGUUUGUUGUUGAAUUAUUGCUUUGCUCACCUAUCAGUAUCAUGUCCAUUUCAUAGGUGAAAUAACGGAGAUAGAGAGAUUAAGGUACAUCUCCAAGUUUGCACAGCUAGCAGGAGGUGAGCCCCAGUUUAAAUGUUGGCCUGCGGGCUUAAUCUCUGGGCAUUCUGCCUCCCAGUGAAAACGCUAUAAAAUGACGAACGAGCACCCAGAAAGGGUCUCAUGAGCCCGCUGAGGUCUUAAUGGAAGCCUCCAAAGUCCUAGAAUAAAACAAAGACGUCUCAGGGUGCCUGGGUGGUUCAGUUGGUUAAGCGUCCGACUUCGGCUCAGGUCAUGAU
Long non-coding RNA from Felis catus (domestic cat), 1040 nucleotides. RefSeq lists it as uncharacterized. The record is from RefSeq and is a predicted model, not a curated record. Lineage: Eukaryota; Metazoa; Chordata; Mammalia; Carnivora; Felidae. The transcript has 5 exons.